CAAUUCCUGGGAGGCAGCAGUGGGGAAUAUUGCACAAUGGGGGAAACCCUGAUGCAGCGACGCCGCGUGGGUGAAGAAGCGCCUCGGCGCGUAAAGCCCUGUCAGCAGGGAAGAAAAUGACGGUACCUGAAGAAGCCCCGGCUAACUACGUGCCAGCAGCCGCGGUAAUACGUAGGGGGCAAGCGUUAUCCGGAUUUACUGGGUGUAAAGGGGGCGCAGACGGCGAUGCAAGCCAGGAGUGAAAGCCCGGGGCCCAACCCCGGGACUGCUCUUGGAACUGCGUGGCUAGAGUGCAGGAGGGGCAG
RNAcentral lists this ribosomal RNA (305 nucleotides) under uncultured bacterium. RNAcentral describes it as "bacterial SSU rRNA". It matches the Rfam family "Bacterial small subunit ribosomal RNA", at positions 333 to 660 of the family's 1533-position model. The record is from RNAcentral.